CGUCAGAUGAACGCUGGCGGCAUGCCUUACACAUGCAAGUCGAACGGCAGCACGGGGGCAACCCUGGUGGCGAGUGGCGAACGGGUGAGUAAUACAUCGGAACGUGUCCUGUAGUGGGGGAUAGCCCGGCGAAAGCCGGAUUAAUACCGCAUACGAUCUACGGAAGAAAGCGGGGGAUCUUCGGACCUCGCGCUAUAGGGGCGGCCGAUGGCAGAUUAGCUAGUUGGUGGGGUAAAGGCCUACCAAGGCGACGAUCUGUAGCUGGUCUGAGAGGACGACCAGCCACACUGGGACUGAGACACGGCCCAGACUCCUACGGGAGGCAGCAGUGGGGAAUUUUGGACAAUGGGGGAAACCCUGAUCCAGCAAUGCCGCGUGUGUGAAGAAGGCCUUCGGGUUGUAAAGCACUUUUGUCCGGAAAGAAAACUUCCUGGUUAAUACCUGGGGAGGCUGACGGUACCGGAAGAAUAAGCACCGGCUAACUACGUGCCAGCAGCCGCGGUAAUACGUAGGGUGCGAGCGUUAAUCGGAAUUACUGGGCGUAAAGCGUGCGCAGGCGGUUUGUUAAGACAGAUGUGAAAUCCCCGGGCUUAACCUGGGAACUGCAUUUGUGACUGGCAAGCUAGAGUAUGGCAGAGGGGGGUAGAAUUCCACGUGUAGCAGUGAAAUGCGUAGAGAUGUGGAGGAAUACCGAUGGCGAAGGCAGCCCCCUGGGCCAAUACUGACGCUCAUGCACGAAAGCGUGGGGAGCAAACAGGAUUAGAUACCCUGGUAGUCCACGCCCUAAACGAUGUCAACUAGUUGUUGGGGAUUCAUUUCCUUAGUAACGUAGCUAACGCGUGAAGUGAC
This 849-nucleotide ribosomal RNA is filed under the name Paraburkholderia sp. Its description in RNAcentral is "bacterial SSU rRNA". It matches the Rfam family "Bacterial small subunit ribosomal RNA", at positions 22 to 869 of the family's 1533-position model. The record is from RNAcentral. Lineage: Bacteria; Pseudomonadati; Pseudomonadota; Betaproteobacteria; Burkholderiales; Burkholderiaceae.